GGUCCUUUCAGCUCAAUCGGUAGAGCAUGACAUCACCGCUGAUGGGGUUAGGGGUUCGAUUCCCACCACUGGGACCA
Molecule: non-coding RNA, 77 nt
Organism: Merluccius polli (Benguela hake)
Lineage: Eukaryota; Metazoa; Chordata; Actinopteri; Gadiformes; Merlucciidae
Source: the annotation of a GenBank genome assembly